This 237-nucleotide ribosomal RNA is filed under the name uncultured bacterium. RNAcentral's name for it is "partial 16S ribosomal RNA". It matches the Rfam family "Bacterial small subunit ribosomal RNA", at positions 15 to 263 of the family's 1533-position model. The record is from RNAcentral.
GAUCCUGGCUCAGGAUGAACGCUGACAGAAUGCUUAACACAUGCAAGUCUACUUGAACUUCGGUUUGGGUGGCGGACGGGUGAGUAACGCGUAAAGAACUUGCCUUACAGUUAGGGACAACAUUUGGAAACGAAUGCUAAUACCUGAUAUUAUGAUUUUAGGGCAUCCUAAGAUUAUGAAAGCUAUAUGUGCUGUGAGAGAGCUUUGCGUCCCAUUAGCUAGUUGGAGAGGUAACGG